Molecule: ribosomal RNA, 497 nt
Filed under: uncultured bacterium
Lineage: Bacteria
Description: partial 16S ribosomal RNA
Rfam family: Bacterial small subunit ribosomal RNA
Source: RNAcentral
GAUGAACGCUGGCGGCGUGCCUAAUACAUGCAAGUCGAGCGAACAGACGAGGAGUUUGUUCCUCGGACGUUAGCGGCGGACGGGUGAGUAACACGUGUAUAACCUACUUAUAAGACUGGGAUAACUUCGGGACACCGGAGCUUAUCCCGGAUAAUAUAUUGAACCGCAUGGUUCAAUAGUGAAAGACGGCUUUUCUGGAACUUAUAGAUGGAUCCCGGCUGCAUUAUCUAGUUGGGAAGGUCACAGCCUACCACGGCAACGAUGCGUGGCCGACGUGAGUGGGUGGUCGGCCACACGGGAAGGGAGCCAGGGUCAAGGCGACUAAGGUACGCACCAGACGGGAAUGGUCCGCAGUGGGCGAAAGCUUGACGGAGCAAGCCCGAGUGAGUGAUAAAGGCCUUCGGAUCGUAAAACUCUCUUAUGAGGGAAGAACAAAUGUGUAAGUAGCUAUGCACGUCUUGACGGUACUUAAUCAGAAAGCCACGGCUAACUACGUG